RNAcentral lists this ribosomal RNA (443 nucleotides) under uncultured bacterium. RNAcentral describes it as "partial 16S ribosomal RNA". It matches the Rfam family "Bacterial small subunit ribosomal RNA", at positions 338 to 795 of the family's 1533-position model. The record is from RNAcentral.
CCUACGGGAGGCAGCAGUGGGGAAUAUUGGGCAAUGGGCGCAAGCCUGACCCAGCAACGCCGCGUGAAGGAAGAAGGCUUUCGGGUUGUAAACUUCUUUUCUCAGGGACGAAGCAAGUGACGGUACCUGAGGAAUAAGCCACGGCUAACUACGUGCCAGCAGCCGCGGUAAUACGUAGGUGGCAAGCGUUAUCCGGAUUUACUGGGUGUAAAGGGCGUGUAGGCGGGGACGAAAGUCAAGUGUGAAAACCACGGGCUCCACCUGUGGCAUGGAUUUGAAACUGUGUUUCUUGAGUACUGGUGAGGGAGACGGGAUUCCUAGGGUAGCGGUGAAAAGCGUAGAUAUCAGGAGGAACACCGGCGGCGAAGGCGGCCUGCUGGACCGCGACUGACGUUGAGGCUCGAAAGCGUGGGGAGCGAACAGGAUUAGAUACCCUUGUAGUC